This 231-nucleotide long non-coding RNA is filed under the name Gossypium barbadense (sea-island cotton). Its description in RNAcentral is "long non-coding RNA (GBAR_LNC013691)". The record is from RNAcentral. Lineage: Eukaryota; Viridiplantae; Streptophyta; Magnoliopsida; Malvales; Malvaceae.
CCGCUUAAUCCCUCUCUAAUACUUUGUUUGGUUCAGUGUAUUGCUAUUACAGGUCUAAUACACUACUGAUCUAAUCCCCAAAAUCUACCGUUUUCUAAUCCCUUCCUUGAGCUCAGAUUAGGUGCUGCUUCAAUUUUGGUCCCUGUUUUACCCUCCCGAUUCACGCUUCUGUUUUACCCAAAAUCCACGUUCUGUUUCUUCCUUCUACCUUUCUUCUCCACUCUCCUCACC